UCGGUUCGGGCGCUUUGUGGGUAUCGAGUAUCAAUUGUUUUAGUUAAAAUAUAUGUUUGUUGAUGGGUUGUGUUUUGGGUCCGUGAUAGAUAUGUUGAAUUUCAGCAAUUAUAAAUAUGUAUGCAUAUUAUUAUUUCUAAAACAACCUUCAUAUUUUAGUUUGAAAGACAAAGGAAGGAUAUGUCAAUCCUAGGGGAUACUUAGAAAGACA
This 211-nucleotide long non-coding RNA is filed under the name Lathyrus oleraceus (garden pea). RNAcentral describes it as "Pisum sativum (pea) long non-coding RNA (PSAT_LNC023001)". Lineage: Eukaryota; Viridiplantae; Streptophyta; Magnoliopsida; Fabales; Fabaceae. The record is from RNAcentral.